RNAcentral lists this long non-coding RNA (1495 nucleotides) under Chloebia gouldiae (Gouldian finch). Its description in RNAcentral is "Erythrura gouldiae (Gouldian finch) lncRNA (ENSEGOG00005016323.1)". Lineage: Eukaryota; Metazoa; Chordata; Aves; Passeriformes; Passeridae. The record is from RNAcentral.
AUGUGUCAAUGGCCCUUUAAAAGUUGUUCUACCAUGUAUCCAACCAUAUGUGUCAACCAACUCCACUGCCAUCUCUUGGGAAUUUUGACUCAUGGCAUUAUUAAAACCAAACCAGGUGCUCAGGACUCCGAGGCUUCCCCAGUACCUCCCAAGAAAAUCUUUGUCACCUCCAGAAUUACUGGGGUUUCACCAGAUGAGCCAUCAAGGGAGCUCAUCUGGAAAUUUCAUCUCCACAAGCUCACCAUCCCACUGGUUCCCAUCGACCUUAAACGCCACCCUGAGCUCAUGGUUCGUUUGACUCGCAUUGGCCCUGAGACUGCCUGCAGAGCCCUUGGAGAGAGCAACAGCUGCACGGCUUCAGAGCAGCACACCAAGCCAACAACCCAUCAGGUUCUUCAUUCCAGAGCCUCACUGCUGCUUCAGCUGAGGAUUCAGAGCUGCCUGCAGGCCUUUCCAGGACAAGUCCAGGUCCUCAAGAGCGUGACGCUUCCCUAGCACCUCCCAAGCAAGUGUUUCUUUCUACAAGAUCAUCUCAGUGGCUGGGGAUGCUGAUGUUCAUUGAAUAUAAAGUACUCAGCACUAUAAUGUUGCUCUUACUACUCAGCACAGACUCACAUUUUAGUAUAUUACUCACACUUUAUUCUGCAUGCUGAUCCUGAGAUCAGCUCAACCUGUUAGACCCUGGUGCUAAAAACAUCAAGGUUGUGGGUACAGUCCCCGUAUGGGCCAAAAGUGGGAUUUGAUCCUUAUAGGUCCCUUCCAACAUAAUAUUCUGUGAUGCUGUGGCUUACUAAUUUCUGUGUGAAACUUAGGUGUUUAUCACCCACUACAUUGUCUUAAUGUGCUUGCUCCUCCAAACACUCCAUGAUUCCUUUGCUUUUACUGAUGAUAAAUGAAAGCAUGGAAGUCAAAGUUAACAUUGUGAUGACAAACUUUUUCAAAUCAGUACAAUGUGAUUUUUUAAGUUUUCAGGACAGAAUUUCCAUUUACUAAAGUUUAAUUGUGAAAUCUCAACAUGUAUGUGAACUGGGAUGCUCAGGGUUAGAAGUAAUAUGCAAAUAAUUCAUGAGGGUUUUGGCUUGGAACUCUGGGUUUUGGGUCAUUCUAUUUGGUUUGUUUGCAGGAGUUUGGCUAGACUGACCUAUAAAAAUUUCAGUAAGACUUCGUGCAAUGAAAAUUAAAUUCCCAAGGUUCAUGUGUCUUAGUUUUAAGGUCUUUCUUCUCUAUAUGAGUCAUCAAAUACUCUUGUCUACAUAUCAUUCAAUCUCCAGAAGCUUUGAUCUCAUAUUCCAAAUGUUUAUUACAAUUUUCUUGUUAACAUCACUACUGUGCAAGCAUACUGACUGUUCAAAAUACAGUAAGAAAAGCACUCUCUGUCCAUUUUCUUACACAUGAAGAUGUGCUGUAUCUUGGUGGAAACUGCAGUAUUCCCAAAUCAUCUUUUAAGACUGCUUGGGAAUAAUUCACCUACCCCCUUAUGCUACUUUACAGCAUA